CCUACGGGUGGCAGCAGUAGGGAAUAUUUCACAAUGGGCGAAAGCCUGAUGGAGCAACGCCGCGUGCAGGAUGAAGGCCUUCGGGUUGUAAACUGCUUUUAUAAGCGAGAAAUAUGAUGGUAACUUAUGAAUAAGGAUCGGUUAACUACGUGCCAGCAGCGGCGGUCAUCCGUAGGAUCCGAGCAUUAUCCGGAGUGACUGGGUGUAAAGAGUUUCGUAGGUGGGAUUAUAAGUAGCUAGGGAAAUCUGGUGGGUCAACCCCGGGACUGCAUUGGAAACUGGCAUGCUGGAGUGCCGGAGGGGCAAGCGGAAUGCCUAGUGUAGCGGUGAAAUGCGUAGAUAUUAGGAAGAACACCGGUGGCGAAGGCAGCUUGCUGGA
Molecule: ribosomal RNA, 379 nt
Filed under: uncultured bacterium
Lineage: Bacteria
Description: partial 16S ribosomal RNA
Rfam family: Bacterial small subunit ribosomal RNA
Source: RNAcentral